GGCCUUAGCUCAGCUGGGAGAGCACCUGCUUUGCAAGCAGGGGGUCGUCGGUUCGAUCCCGACAGGCUCCACCA
RNAcentral lists this transfer RNA (74 nucleotides) under Xanthomonas campestris. RNAcentral's name for it is "tRNA-Ile". It matches the Rfam family "tRNA". Rfam says of the family: Transfer RNA (tRNA) molecules are approximately 80 nucleotides in length. Their secondary structure includes four short double-helical elements and three loops (D, anti-codon, and T loops). Lineage: Bacteria; Pseudomonadati; Pseudomonadota; Gammaproteobacteria; Lysobacterales; Lysobacteraceae. The record is from RNAcentral.